GCGGGAUAGCUCAGUCGGUAGAGCAUGGGACUCAUAAGCCUAGGGUCAUCGGUUCAAGUCCGAUUCCCGCC
Molecule: transfer RNA, 71 nt
Filed under: bovine gut metagenome
Rfam family: tRNA
About the family: Transfer RNA (tRNA) molecules are approximately 80 nucleotides in length.
Source: RNAcentral